GGAUGAGGAUUGGGGAUGGGGGCAGGGCAGGGGACACGGAAGGGGAUGGGGUGACGGGGACAGGGGGGCAGGGACAGGGCAGGGGAUGAGGAUUGGGGAUUGGGACAAGGAAGGGGACAGGGUGAUGGGGACAAGGAUGGGGGACAAGGAAGGGGACGAGGAUUGGGGAUGGGGACAGGGUGACAGGGACAAGAAUGGGGGACAGGGCAGGGGACGAGGAUGGGGGACAAGAAAGGGGACAGGGACAGGGCAGGGGACAAGGAUGGGGACAGGGGAUAAGGAUGGGGACGGGGACAGGGCAGGGGACGAGGAUUGGGGAUGGGGACAGGGCAGGGGACAAGGAUUGGGACGGGACAAGGAUGGGGACAGGGCAGGGGACAAGGAUGGGGGACGGGGAUGGGGACAGGGCUGGGGGACGAGGAAGAGGACGGGGAUGAUGGCAAGGAUGGGGACGGGGAUAGGGACAAGGUUGGGGAUGGGGACAGGGCAGGGGACAAGGACUCGGACAGGGGGACGGGGACAGAGCAGGGGACAAGGAUGGAGACGGGGGGAUGAGGACGGGGACAGGGGGAUGGGGACAAGGAUGGGGACGGGGACAGGACAGGGGACAAGGACUUGA
RNAcentral lists this long non-coding RNA (619 nucleotides) under Anser brachyrhynchus (Pink-footed goose). RNAcentral describes it as "lncRNA (ENSABRG00000000043.1)". Lineage: Eukaryota; Metazoa; Chordata; Aves; Anseriformes; Anatidae. The record is from RNAcentral.